CCCUGGCUCAGGACGAACGCUGGCGGCGUGCCUAAUACAUGCAAGUCGAGCGGAUUUAUCCUUCGGGAUAAGUUAGCGGCGGACGGGUGAGUAACACGUAGGUAACCUGCCUAUAAGAUCGGGAUAACUAUCGGAAACGAUAGCUAAGACCGGAUAAUUGGUUUUCUCGCAUGAGAGAAUUAUGAAACACGGAGCAAUCUGUGGCUUAUAGAUGGGCCUGCGGCGCAUUAGCUAGUUGGUAGGGUAACGGCCUACCAAGGCGACGAUGCGUAGCCGACCUGAGAGGGUGAACGGCCACACUGGGACUGAGACACGGCCCAGACUCCUACGGGAGGCAGCAGUAGGGAAUCUUCCGCAAUGGACGCAAGUCUGACGGAGCAACGCCGCGUGAGUGAUGAAGGUUUUCGGAUCGUAAAGCUCUGUUGCCCUAGACGAACAGCAAGAGGAGUAACUGCCUUUUGUGUGACGGUAUAGGAGAAGAAAGCCCCGGCUAACUA
This 497-nucleotide ribosomal RNA is filed under the name Paenibacillaceae bacterium BF.104. Its description in RNAcentral is "bacterial SSU rRNA". It matches the Rfam family "Bacterial small subunit ribosomal RNA", at positions 17 to 503 of the family's 1533-position model. The record is from RNAcentral. Lineage: Bacteria; Bacillati; Bacillota; Bacilli; Caryophanales; Paenibacillaceae.